CCUAAGUCAAGGUUUUUUUCCAGCCUUUUCUCUUUGGUUUAUUGCGCUCGCUCCUCCCGUCUGUCCCCCUUGGCUCUGUCUGGCUUGCGUCGGGUCUGAGUUUUUUUCUUUUCGGGUUGUAUUGCUCCACACCCGGAUCCGUUUCUCCUUUUUUUUAGGAAUGAUCCGUUUUCACCCACAUGAUUUUCUGAAUUUUUUUUUGGAUGGUGGUCGGCAGCCCAUCCCCUAUCAGAAGAGAAGAGAGAGGCGGAGGCGGUGGAGGGGGGUCACCACCGUCGGUGAGCAGCAGCAAGGGGUUAGCUGGAGGUCAUGGAGCACGGGAAGCUGCCGCAGCACAACCCUGGGAAGUUGGAGCCUAGCUGUCGUGGAGGAGCAGGGGGGAGGAGAGAGGGAGGUAUUGAGAAGAGGGCGGCGGAGAUAUUUUGCCAGUCCCGCCACCAGCAAGGUUUCGCCGGUGAUGUCGGAACCGUUCGCCGGCGCCGUUCGAGCCGGAGGGUUGUGGAUUCUUGGGGGCAGAGAUCAUCGAGUGGAUGCUAUGAACCCAACUACGACCCUAAUGACAGUCCCCCAAACACUGAGAGUUGUGAUGAGAGCAUUGCAUAUAGUGAUGAAGAAUCUGUAUCUAGGAGGAAGAAGUUAUUAGAAGAUGCUUUAUUCGUUUUUUUAGGAAGGAGGCAAUCAAAUCACUCGAGAUUUUCCAAAAUUCUGGAAGAAUGUCGACCUUAAAACUGAGCAAAAUUAGAGGCAAAAGGUUAUGGGGGCAGGGAGGCAUGUGUGCAGCGUCUUUUCCACAAAAUACUUCGUAGAUAUCUUGAGGGGUAUGUCCAGUGGCCGGAAGGAUGUCAUCUCAAAAUACGGGUUUGAGCCUCUUCUGAAAUUUGAGAAAACUGAUAUCCCAUCACGAUUUGUCCGCUAUAUUGUCGAAUGUGUAGACACAGUGUCAUCUCAAAUCAUUGUUGCUGAUGAGAAGAUCAUUCCUAUCUCAAAGGAUUCAGUUCCUUGUGUGUUGGGCCUGCUAGACAGUGGUGAUUUAGCGACACAAGACAAGGAUAGUGGGAGGAACUUCAUUUUGUCUCGGUUCAGCUUGAGAGAAAUGCCAAACAUUACUUUCUUUGGAGACAUGCUCAUAUCUUCUGAUUUUCACAGCGAGGAAGGCACUUUCAUAUGCUUCAUGGUGAUCGCAAUGUCGUGCUUCCUUUUUCCAUCUUCCAGCGAUCAGAUUCACAUUGAGUUUUUGACCUUGCUUGUUAAUCCAAAGCGCACAAGUGGUUUUGAUUUCUGUGCGCUUGUGUAUGAUUGGAUACUCACUGGCAUCAACAAGUUUGUGAUUUCUGGCAGAGUACCUGGCAGGAAACCAGAGGUGUUUUGACUUUUGCUCGUACUGCAUCACGGACUAUGAAGAUUCACAAGAAAGAUGGCACCACAUUGGAGAAAUAGAUGGCUUUGUCAAAAGGUGAACUCACCUCCAGGUGAUGAAAGCGAGGUUGACAUGUUGAUGAACUCAUGUGACCUCCAUGGUGACCAUGUGUGAUCUCCAGCGUGAUCUCCCAGCUAUGUAUCGCCUGUGCUUGAUGGUGAGUACUUGAGGCAGGGGUGUUCAUGAAUGACCAAUCCUGUAACAGAAGCUGUUUAAAUACGUACUCCUACCAAAUAUGGUGGAGAUGUUUGAAGGCGUUAUCAAUCUUGUCGGUGCUUUCCUUAUCUUGUGCCUGAUGUUUAGUAUGUAAUAAUUAGGCUAAUUAUUGUUAGGAUUCUACGGUUUUUUCCAUGUAUAGUACUUUUGCACUUACGAGGGUGGGAGGAAGGCUA
Aegilops tauschii subsp. strangulata is the source of this 1809-nucleotide long non-coding RNA. RefSeq lists it as uncharacterized. Lineage: Eukaryota; Viridiplantae; Streptophyta; Magnoliopsida; Poales; Poaceae. The record is from RefSeq and is a predicted model, not a curated record.